CUACGUGCCAGCAGCCGCGGUAAUACGUAGGGUGCGAGCGUUAAUCGGAAUUACUGGGCGUAAAGCGAGCGCAGACGGUUACUUAAGCAGGAUGUGAAAUCCCCGGGCUCAACCUGGGAACUGCGUUCUGAACUGGGUGACUAGAGUGUGUCAGAGGGAGGUAGAAUUCCACGUGUAGCAGUGAAAUGCGUAGAGAUGUGGAGGAAUACCGAUGGCGAAGGCAGCCUCCUGGGAUAACACUGACGUUCAUGCUCGAAAGCGUGGGUAGCAAACAGGAUUAGAUACCCUGGUAGUCCACGCCCUAAACGAUGUCAAUUAGCUGUUGGGCAACUUGAUUGCUUAGUAGCGUAGCUAACGCGUGAAAUUGACCGCCUGGGGAGUACGGUCGCAAGAUUAAAACUCAAAGGAAUUGACGGGGACCCGCACAAGCGGUGGAUGAUGUGGAUUAAUUCGGUGCAACGCGAAGAACCUUACCUGGUCUUGACAU
Molecule: ribosomal RNA, 487 nt
Filed under: uncultured bacterium
Lineage: Bacteria
Description: bacterial SSU rRNA
Rfam family: Bacterial small subunit ribosomal RNA
Source: RNAcentral